Molecule: long non-coding RNA, 3362 nt
Organism: Eriocheir sinensis (Chinese mitten crab)
Lineage: Eukaryota; Metazoa; Arthropoda; Malacostraca; Decapoda; Varunidae
Exons: 4
Source: RefSeq, a predicted model, not a curated record
GCCAAAGACUGCCCCGGGACUGAGAGCAAAUAUAUAAAUUGUGUGAGGUACAAGAAGUCUGAAGUCAAUCACUCGGCGAAUAACCAGUGUUGGGUAGUUUUUCAGACUGAAAUUGAGAGAAUUCGUAACAUAACUGAUCAUGGCUACGAGUUCCUCAGAUACAAAGACAAAAUGUGGUCUGCUAAAUGUUUAGUCUGUGGGAAAUAAAACUCUAGAUAUCCGUGAUUUCAUCAAAGAAAAGGAUCUUGACAUUUUAGCGGUAACUGAAACAUGGCUAAAUGACUACGACGUCGCCAAGAUUCGUGAGAUGACGCCAGGGUUGGAGUAAUUGUAAUUGUAAUUUAAUUAGAAUGUAAUUAAUUACAUUAAAGUAUGUAAUUGUAAUUGGAUGUAGAACUUAAUGAAGUAAUUGUAAUUAUAAUUAAUUACAUUAUAAAGUAAUUGUAAUUUAAUUGUAAUUGCGAAAAAAGUAAGUCAUACUAAAAUUCUGAUAAUCCUUGUUUUUACUGCUAUGGUGGCAAAUAUGUAAAUACUGUAUAUGAUGAAGUAUGGCAACCCUUACUGGACAACCUACGUAUUAUACGAGAAUCAGACGCGUCCACUUUUCCCUGUUUGGUGGACUGGGACAUAUUUCAUUGCUUCCUAGACCGUCAUACGGCAAAGUCCUCCUCUUGACUUUCUAUUGUAAAGCAGUGGUUGCCAACACACCCAGUCACAUGCAGGUGUAUAGAUUCCCCCGUCAGGAAAUCAUCAGGCUCUGUGAUGAGUUGCACCCCCACCUGGAAAGGAGAACCAGGAGGGCACAUGCACUCCCAACACACACCCAGGUUCUGGCUACACUAAGGUUUUUGAGACAGUGCGUAUCCUAUGGAGCCAUUCCUGAUGACCCCAGUUGCACGCCCGACAACGCCUGGGGAGGAAUGAUACAACAAGUCAUCACAUGACAAGAUGCGUUGUCGAACGGACCUUUGGGAUCCUCAAGUCAAGGUGCAGGUGCCUACAUAAGUCAGGAGGAAGUUUGCAGCAUGACCCCAAGAAGACUAUGAAGAUUGCGACUUCUUGUAUGCUCCUGCACAACUACUGAGUGGAUCGCUGCAGAAGAAGUACCAGUUCAGCCUGUGAGAAACAGCAGACUGAUUCCUGGUCAAGUUGUCAGGCAGGAAAUUAUUAGAAACUUCCUUUCCUGAGUAUAGAUUGCGUAUGGUGCACCGGUGGCCGAGUGGUCAGUGUGUGUACGUGGUGAUCCAGAGGACUCGACUCCCACCGCAAGACACUGAGAGUUUUCAACCAUUGACAAGUGGCAGAGGGUUACCAACAUGCUGCCCAGCAGAUCUUCAGUCAACCCUAACUUCAGCGUCUUUGAUCAAGAGGGGCACCACCUCCACACCACACAUUCUUAUCACCUAGUUUGGUACCCUACUUGUCCAUCUCACAUGCCCCAUGUAUCUCAGCAUUCUGCACUCUUGGCUCCAUGUCAUCCUCUCCAACUUGUUGUUUCAUAUAGCAUAACCGGCCUCACAUACAUAGAAGUGAUCAAUAUACCUAGGCUAUAAUAUUAUAUUUAAGGACUCUUAUACGAGGUAUCGCCCCAUACAGAGGUGUCGAAGUAAGUCUGUCUGAUAGUAGGCUGGCUGACUGCUGUCGGGACCCAAGCCAGCAUGCCCUGGGGGUUGUGUGCAGGAGGAGGAAAGAGGGAAAAGGACAAAUGGUGUGUGUAUCAUUAUCAGGGGUAACCACGGUGGAGUGCAAACACUCAGUAGUUGUAGUAAGGCUUAAUUAAGUUGAUGAGUGGUGUUAGACUGAAUGAGCAGGUUUUUUACCAUAUGUUAGUGGGGACACUUGAUAGGUUUUGUUUGUGAGUUGGUGCUACUUGUUUCUUGUGUUUACAUGUUAGUUUAUAAUUAGACUAAGUUCUAAGUGUUAUGAGCGACAAUUUAGUCUUGUAUGGCUGAAUCCUGUCCCUUGACCCUUAGUUCAUCAUCAGAAUCUCUAAACAAAUAUAUUUACCUUAAGUAAUAUUCUUAAAGUCACGCUUCCCAUAUUAUUUGGCAGAUGAUAAUCCUGUGUGCGAUAAUGGUGCCUUAUAAGACUUGGUAAAUAAACUACUAAUUUUACUCUCUGGUUUAAGUGAUCAACAAUUAAUUCUACUUUGAGGUAUAAUUAACCAACAUUAUUAAGGAGUGCCCAUGCCAGGCACGACAUUAAGAAUAUUUUUCUGUUGACCAGCAGACUUACUAUAGUCAAACCAUUUCCAAUAGUCUGUUGAGGCAGUGGCUUCUGCAGGUCCUUUCCUCCCUUCUGCUUUGCCACACAGUUCCAAUUACCUAUUUCCUCUGUUUCCUGUCCCCUCUUUCACAAACUGGGCACCUAUAAUGCACCCCUACUUGAUUUACAUUUCUCAGCCCUGAGCAUCUCUUUGUGGCACCACUUAUCACCCCCUGUGCACAGGGCAGAGUUAGUAGCCAUUUCUCUUCCACACCAACUACCUUCCUAUAUAUAUGAUUUCUCAGUAAUUAGUUAUUUGUUGUGCUGUAUUAGCUGUUACGUGCUACAUCAAGCUGUAAUAUCUACCCAAGCUGCGGGUUAAUCCAAUAAAAAAAAAAGUGAAUGACUAAGUCAUGUGUUAUUAUUCCCAAGCUCCAUUGGCAAUGGCGAGUGCACAUUAUAUAACUGAAGCAUAUUACACAUUCAUUGAUCACAAUUAAAACUAACUACCCUAAUCAAAUUAAAUCUAACCUAACCUGAUCUGACCUAAUUAAACUAAAUAUAAGGUAACCUGGCCUUAAUGCCUGCUCCCAAAAUUAAAUAAAUGGAAAUAAAUAUGAUAUCAAUUUCCAAAAUAUACCUGAGGAACAAAAAGAGAAAGAAUGACAAGAAUUGAACUAUGAAACAAGAAUUGUUGGCUUCAAGAUGACCUCAACUGACUAAGAAUGACAAUUAAGAUCUACGCAAUGUGACAGGUCAGAAUUGAGUCUUGAAAAUGAUUUCUGAUGAUUAAGGAUGACAUGAUCUACUGAAUGACAACAAUUGUCUGCUUUGAAAAUGACCUCAGCUGAAAUAAUAUUGCAUGCAUUUAACCUUUUUACAUCACUCUCCAACAUCCUAUUCCAUUCGGUCACAACUGUUACCAUAAUCCUCUUUUCUCUCUUAUAUACAUCACUCAAGUAGCAUGUGCUCAAUCAUAUUGUUACCCUCCCUUUCACCCAUACAUGAAUGUCACACCUUGCUUCCCCCCAUCAGGCACCUGUGCUCCCACCUGCCUCUCCCUUGUCCAUCGCCCUUGCCAGGCCGGCCCCCAGGACUUGCCUCUCCUGAGCACUGUCAAACCUCUUCCUUAGUUCCCUCAUCUCACUCCUCAGUGC